CCACUUAUAUUUCAACCUAUAAGCAUUAAGGUUAGUUAAGCUGUGUUGACCCUAAGGGAUUAUCGUGCAGUUAAAGUCAAUAUUACGUGUUUUCCAUCCAUUGAUCUUAGAUACUUCUAUCCUCAGAACCAUGCAACCACUGACAUCCACUACAUAUUAUCCAUGUGCUACUUCUAUUCCUAGAAGUACCACCCACAUAUACGCACUACACUCUAUGUUGUUCCUAUCUAGGAGACACGCACCUCUACUGCUUCUACCCUAGGAGUAAGCAUUCAUCCAUCCAUACACAUUCCGCAUCCACUUAGAAAAUGUUCUUCUACUACACUGGGAGAGAAUACCCAAAAAUAUUCAUUGGUGUUAUGUCUUUUUCUACUUAUCCAAUAAAGCUCUAGUUAUUUCAGUUGAUACUUCCUAUUGUUGUUAGUGGAUUAAAAGGAUUGGCUGAUUAAAAAAAGAGAGAAAAAAAGAAAGAAGACAAAACUCCCAAUAGAAAAGUAAGAGGAAGCAGCCAAAUCCUUAUUUUCAGAUUAGAGAAGUAUGUUAUCCCCAAGCAACAAUUGUAGAAUUAGAUUUUCACCAUCAGUCAUCACCCCUCAUUAUCUCCAUCAUUCUUAUCACUCAUUUCAUUCACUACACAAUCAUGCACAUAUGAAAUGAUUGUAUAAUUAGUUUCUCUGGAUCCACGGUUUAACUAUGCAAUACAUGCAAGUAGGUUUGAAUUGUCGACUCCACCUAUAAGCUCCAUAUAAGCCUAUUAGAAGUAGGGUGAGAGAGAGAAAGCAAUUAUGCCUUGGCCAUACAAAUACCAUAUUUUAUGAGAAGAGAGAAGGCAUACCCUACACAUGCCUUGGAGAGGAUCCAAAAAUACCAUAUAUGAGAGACUUGAAAGGGUCAUACAAGGAAUCUUUGAGUUUUAUUUGAAAAUCUUGCAAAACUGCAAAAUAAUAGUUGAUCAUAGAGCGACAAAUAUAGAGCUUGACUUAACUGUUUUGUCAUUCAACUGCUCAAGACUUAAGUGAUAGCUAUAAGCCCCAUGGUGAAAGGUAAUAUGGGUAAGACUUCAGUUAGAAUGGUUCACAC
RNAcentral lists this long non-coding RNA (1080 nucleotides) under Sorghum bicolor (sorghum). RNAcentral's name for it is "long non-coding RNA (SBIC_LNC006728)". Lineage: Eukaryota; Viridiplantae; Streptophyta; Magnoliopsida; Poales; Poaceae. The record is from RNAcentral.